AAGGUUUUAAGUUAAUUAAACUAAUAGCCUUCAAAGCUAUAAAUAAAAUAGUAUUUUUAAACCUUA
RNAcentral lists this transfer RNA (66 nucleotides) under Pseudocosmetura anjiensis. RNAcentral's name for it is "tRNA-Trp". The record is from RNAcentral. RNAcentral also lists the same sequence under 1 other name. Lineage: Eukaryota; Metazoa; Arthropoda; Insecta; Orthoptera; Tettigoniidae.